CUAUUUCCUUUUAUAAAGGGUACAUGACCAGGGGCUGGGAUUUGAAGUAGUUGGCUCAGAGAGUGAAGUGGAAAGCUUUUCACUGAAAGUGAGAUUCAUACCUGAAUUAAGUAACCUAAAAGACUCCUGGCCAGGAAGUACAAUUAGAUUUGAUUGCUCUCUCACAACCAGCGGAGAUACAAUAAGAAUAUUAUCUUAGAGAGAUAUCAUUUGCACGUACAAAAUAAGCAAUUGAAGUCUUUAUUUUAUGAGAGGUUUAUAGACG
Hypanus sabinus (Atlantic stingray) is the source of this 265-nucleotide long non-coding RNA. RefSeq lists it as uncharacterized. The transcript has 3 exons. The record is from RefSeq and is a predicted model, not a curated record. Lineage: Eukaryota; Metazoa; Chordata; Chondrichthyes; Myliobatiformes; Dasyatidae.